This is a long non-coding RNA of Gracilinanus agilis (Agile Gracile Mouse Opossum), 141 nucleotides long. RefSeq lists it as uncharacterized. Lineage: Eukaryota; Metazoa; Chordata; Mammalia; Didelphimorphia; Didelphidae. The record is from RefSeq and is a predicted model, not a curated record. The transcript has 3 exons.
CUAUCAUCUCCUGCUGAAGCUUCCAUUGCCAUGAAGACAUCAGCUCUCACCUUACUGGUCCUAGUUGCAUCUACUUGGGCUGCUGAUAAUCAAAUAAAAGGAACAGAGGUUAAAUGCCUCUGGCCCUCCACUGAAGGCAAG